Molecule: ribosomal RNA, 468 nt
Filed under: uncultured bacterium
Lineage: Bacteria
Description: partial 16S ribosomal RNA
Rfam family: Bacterial small subunit ribosomal RNA
Source: RNAcentral
GACGAACGCUGGCGGCGUGCUUAACACGUGCAAGUCGAACGGAAAGGCCCUGCUUUUGUGGGGUGCUCGAGUGGCGAACGGGUGAGUAACACGUGAGUAACCUGCCCUUGACUUUGGGAUAACUUCAGGAAACUGGGGCUAAUACCGGAUAGGAGCUCCUGCUGCAUGGUGGGGGUUGGAAAGUUUCGGCGGUUGGGGAUGGACUCGCGGCUUAUCAGCUUGUUGGUUGGGUAGUGGCUUACCAAGGCUUUGACGGGUAGCCGGCCUGAGAGGGUGACCGGCCACAUUGGGACUGAGAUACGGCCCAGACUCCUACGGGAGGCAGCAGUGGGGAAUAUUGCACAAUGGGCGGAAGCCUGAUGCAGCCACGCCGCGUGCGGGAUGACGGCCUUCGGGUUGUAAACCGCUUUCGCCUGUGACGAAGCGUGAGUGACGGUAAUGGGUAAAGAAGCACCGGCUAACUACGUG